RNAcentral lists this ribosomal RNA (408 nucleotides) under uncultured bacterium. RNAcentral's name for it is "partial 16S ribosomal RNA". It matches the Rfam family "Bacterial small subunit ribosomal RNA", at positions 28 to 526 of the family's 1533-position model. The record is from RNAcentral.
GACGAACGCUGGCGGCGUGCCUAAUACAUGCAAGUAGAACGCAGUUGCGAACGGGUGAGUAACGCGUAGGUAACCUGCCUCAGAGCGGGGGAUAAGUAUUGGAAACGAUAGCUAAUACCGCAUACUGUGAGAUGGACCUGCGUUGUAUUAGCUGGUUGGUGAGGUAAAGGCUCACCAAGGCGACGAUACAUAGCCGAACUGAGAGGAUGGUUGGCGGCACUAGGACUGAGACACGGCCCAGACUCCUACGGGAGGCAGCAGUCGGGAAUCUUAGGCAAUGGACGGAAGUCUGACCCAGCAAUGCCGCGUGAGUGAAGAAGGUUUUCGGAUCGUAAAGCUCUGUUGUUAGAGAAGCGGUAGCUAAACAGGAAGCAACGGCUAACUACGUGCCAGCAGCCGCGGUAAUUC